RNAcentral lists this unclassified non-coding RNA (36 nucleotides) under Klebsiella pneumoniae subsp. pneumoniae BJ1-GA. RNAcentral describes it as "U5". The record is from RNAcentral. Lineage: Bacteria; Pseudomonadati; Pseudomonadota; Gammaproteobacteria; Enterobacterales; Enterobacteriaceae.
UUACCAAGCGAAUUGUUUUUUGUGAAAGUAUUCACU